AGAGUUUGAUCCUGGCUCAGGACGAACGCUGGCGGCAUGCCUAAUACAUGCAAGUCGAACGGAUCUCUUCGGAGAUUAGUGGCGGACGGGUGAGUAACGCGGAUUAGUGGCGGACGGGUGAGUAACGCGUGGGCAACCUGCCCCAAAGAUCGGGAUAACACUUCGAAAGGAGUGCUAAUACCGGGUGUGAUCUAGAAUUCGCAUGGAUUUUAGAAGAAAGGCUUCGGCCACUUUGGGAUGGGCCCGCGUCUGAUUAGCUAGUUGGUGGGGUAAAGGCCUACCAAGGCGACGAUCAGUAGCCGACCUGAGAGGGUGAACGGCCACACUGGGACUGAGACACGGCCCAGACUCCUACGGGAGGCAGCAGUCGGGAAUAUUGGGCAAUGGGCGAAAGCCUGACCCAGCAAUGCCGCGUGAGUGAUGAAGGUCUUCGGAUUGUAAAACUCUGUCUUUGGGGAAGAAAAAUCUCUGUCUUUGGGGACGAACAAGGUGACGGUACCCAAGGAGGAAGCCCCGGCUAACUACGUGCCAGCAGCCGCGGUAAUACGUAGGGGGCGAGCGUUGUCCGGAAUUACUGGGCGUAAAGGGCGCGUAGGCGGAUUUUUAAGUCUGGUGUGAAAGAUCAGGGCUCAACCCUGAGAGUGCAUCGGAAACUGGGGAUCUUGAGGACAGGAGAGGAAAGUGGAAUUCCACGUGUAGCGGUGAAAUGCGUAGAUAUGUGGAGGAACACCAGUGGCGAAGGCGACUUCCUGGCCUGUAACUGACACUGAGGCGCGAAAGCGUGGGGAUCAAACAGGAUUAGAUACCCUGGUAGUCCACGCCGUAAACGAUGAGUGCUAGGUGUCGGGGGUAUCGACCCCCUCGGUGCCACAGCUAACGCAAUAAGCACUCCGCCUGGGGAGUACGGUCGCAAGACUGAAACUCAAAGGAAUUGACGGGGGCCCGCACAAGCGGUGGAGUAUGUGGUUUAAUUCGACGCAACGCGAAGAACCUUACCAAGGCUUGACAUCCCGUGACAGCCAUGGAAACUAGGGAGUGCCCUUCGGGGGCAGAGAUGACAGGUGGUGCAUGGUUGUCGUCAGCUCGUGUCGUGAGAUGUUGGGUUAAGUCCCGCAACGAGCGCAACCCUUGUGUUUAGUUGCCAACAGGUAGAGGCGAGCACUCUAGCAGAACUGCCGUUGACAAAACGGAGGAAGGUGGGGAUGACGUCAAAUCAUCAUGCCCCUUAUGUCUUGGGCUACACACGUACUACAAUGGCCUGAACAGAGGGAAGCAAAACUGCGAGGUGGAGCCAAUCCCACAAAGCCGUUCUC
This 1313-nucleotide ribosomal RNA is filed under the name uncultured bacterium. RNAcentral's name for it is "partial 16S ribosomal RNA". It matches the Rfam family "Bacterial small subunit ribosomal RNA", at positions 8 to 1289 of the family's 1533-position model. The record is from RNAcentral.